Molecule: ribosomal RNA, 793 nt
Filed under: uncultured Oscillospiraceae bacterium
Lineage: Bacteria; Bacillati; Bacillota; Clostridia; Eubacteriales; Oscillospiraceae
Description: bacterial SSU rRNA
Rfam family: Bacterial small subunit ribosomal RNA
Source: RNAcentral
UAUGAGCAAUCUGCCUUUCAGAGGGGGAUACCGAUUGGAAACGAUCGUUAAUACCGCAUAAUAUAAUUGAACCGCAUGAUUUGAUUAUCAAAGAUUUAUCGCUGAAAGAUGAGCUCGCGUCUGAUUAGCUAGUUGGUAAGGUAACGGCUUACCAAGGCGACGAUCAGUAGCCGGACUGAGAGGUUGAUCGGCCACAUUGGGACUGAGACACGGCCCAGACUCCUACGGGAGGCAGCAGUGGGGAAUAUUGCACAAUGGAGGAAACUCUGAUGCAGCGAUGCCGCGUGAGGGAAGAAGGUUUUAGGAUUGUAAACCUCUGUCUUCAGGGACGAAAAAAGACGGUACCUGAGGAGGAAGCUCCGGCUAACUACGUGCCAGCAGCCGCGGUAAUACGUAGGGAGCGAGCGUUGUCCGGAAUUACUGGGUGUAAAGGGAGCGUAGGCGGGAUCGCAAGUCAGAUGUGAAAACUAUGGGCUUAACCCAUAAACUGCAUUUGAAACUGUGGUUCUUGAGUGAAGUAGAGGUAAGCGGAAUUCCUAGUGUAGCGGUGAAAUGCGUAGAUAUUAGGAGGAACAUCAGUGGCGAAGGCGGCUUACUGGGCUUUAACUGACGCUGAGGCUCGAAAGCGUGGGGAGCAAACAGGAUUAGAUACCCUGGUAGUCCACGCCGUAAACGAUGAUUACUAGGUGUGGGGGGACUGACCCCUUCCGUGCCGCAGCAAACGCAAUAAGUAAUCCACCUGGGGAGUACGACCGCAAGGUUGAAACUCAAAGGAAUUGACGGGGGGCCCGCA